This 460-nucleotide ribosomal RNA is filed under the name uncultured bacterium. RNAcentral describes it as "partial 16S ribosomal RNA". It matches the Rfam family "Bacterial small subunit ribosomal RNA", at positions 338 to 795 of the family's 1533-position model. The record is from RNAcentral.
CCUACGGGUGGCAGCAGUGAGGAAUAUUGGUCAAUGGGCGAGAGCCUGAACCAGCCAAGUCGCGUGAAGGAUGAAGGACCUAUGGUUUGUAAACUUCUUUUAUAUGGGAAUAAAGUGAGGAACGUGUUCCUCUUUGUAUGUACCAUAUGAAUAAGCAUCGGCUAACUCCGUGCCAGCAGCCGCGGUAAUACGGAGGAUGCGAGCGUUAUCCGGAUUUAUUGGGUUUAAAGGGUGCGUAGGUGGUUAGUUAAGUCAGCGGUGAAAGUUUGUGGCUCAACCAUAAAAUUGCCGUUGAUACUGGUAAACUUGAGUAUAUUUGAGGUAGGCGGAAUGCGUGGUGUAGCGGUGAAAUGCAUAGAUAUCACGAAGAACUCCGAUUGCGAAGGCAGCUUACUGGACUAUAACUGACGCUGAGGCACGAAAGCGUGGGUAUCAAACAGGAUUAGAUACCCUAGUAGUC